AUUGAACGCUGGCGGCGUGCCUAACACAUGCAAGUCGAGUGGCAGCGCGGGAGCAAUCCUGGCGGCGAGCGGCGGACGGGUGAGUAAUGCUUGGGAAUCUGCCUGUUAGUGGGGGACAACCCGGGGAAACUCGGGCUAAUACCGCAUACGCACUACGGUGGAAAGCCGGGGACCGCAAGGCCUGGCGCUAACAGAUGAGCCCAAGUCGGAUUAGCUAGUUGGUAGGGUAACGGCCACCAAGGCGACGAUCCGUAACUGGUCUGAGAGGACGACCAGUCACACCGGAACUGAGACACGGCCCAGACUCCUACGGGAGGCAGCAGUGGGGAAUAUUGGACAAUGGGCGCAAGCCUGAUCCAGCGAUGCCGCGUGUGUGAAGAAGGCCUGCGGGUUGU
RNAcentral lists this ribosomal RNA (395 nucleotides) under uncultured bacterium. Its description in RNAcentral is "bacterial SSU rRNA". It matches the Rfam family "Bacterial small subunit ribosomal RNA", at positions 29 to 426 of the family's 1533-position model. The record is from RNAcentral.